GUAUUUGAAACAGACCGAAUUUCCUCCUCGAUGUGGCGUCAGGUUGACUUUUCGAGACUAGCGGGUAUUUCUUUUUAAUGACUCCAAUGCCUUUUUAUUAUUGCUGUUAUUGAGGUUGAGGGAGAAGAGAUCGGUCUAAAUUCUGGCUGGGUAAGUGGGGGGAUUCUCGGCGAUGAGAAACGGGGGACUUAGAAGCCGGAGGAAAAUCAGCAGCCCCACAUCUCCACUUCUCCAGUCCGCCCUACUCUCCACCCGUGACCUCCAGUGGAGACCCCAGGCGGCAGCAUCAGUAUUUGAUCGGCCCUUCGUCAGCACGCUGCCAGCCCUGGCCGGCUGGGUUCGCCAGGCAUCACCCGCUCGGCUCUGAAGCGGACGCCUGGCCCUGCACCGGGCUUUGGAAGGACCCUCUCUGCGCUCGCCCCCUCCCCAGGGUGGCUCCGCUUUCGAGCCCGGGCGCGGUGCCCACCAUGCGCGGCUGCCUGCGGCUCGCGCUGCUCUGCGCGCUGCCCUGGCUCCUGCUGGCGGCGUCGCCCGGGCACCCGGCGAAAUCCCCCAGGCAGCCCCCGGCACCGCGCCGCGACCCCUUCGACGCUGCCAGGGGCGCCGAUUUCGAUCAUGUCUACAGCGGGGUGGUGAACCUCAGCACCGAGAACAUCUACUCUUUCAACUACACCAGCCAGCCCGACCAGAAUUGAAAGAAGGCCAGGCGCAGUGGCUCACACCUGUAAUCCCAGCACUUUGGGAGGCUGAGGCGGGCAGAUCACUGGAGGUGACAGCCGUGAGGGUGUAUGUGAACAGUUCCUCUGAGAAUCUCAACUACCCGGUCCUUGUUGUGGUUCGCCAGCAGAAAGAGGUGCUGUCCUGGCAGGUUCCUCUGCUCUUCCAAGGACUAUACCAGAGGAGCUACAACUAUCAAGAAGUGAGCCGCACCUUAUGUCCCUCAGAAGCAACCAAUGAGACGGGACCCUUGCAGCAACUGAUAUUUGUAGAUGUCGCAUCCAUGGCACCCCUGGGUGCUCAGUACAAACUGCUAGUUACCAAGCUGAAGCACUUCCAGCUCCGGACAAAUGUUGCCUUUCACUUUACUGCCAGCCCCUCUCAACCUCAGUAUUUUCUAUACAAGUUUCCCAAAGACGUGGACUCAGUUAUCAUUAAAGUGGUGUCUGAAAUGGCUUAUCCAUGUUCUGUUGUCUCAGUCCAGAAUAUCAUGUGCCCGGUGUAUGAUCUCGACCACAAUGUGGAAUUUAAUGGUGUCUAUCAGUCCAUGACCAAGAAAGCUGCCAUCACGCUACAGAAGAAGGAUUUUCCAGGCGAGCAGUUCUUCGUGGUAUUUGUGAUAAAGCCUGAAGAUUAUGCCUGUGGAGGAUCUUUCUUCAUCCAGGAAAAGGAAAACCAGACCUGGAAUCUACAGCGAAAAAAGAACCUUGAAGUGACCAUUGUCCCUUCCAUUAAAGAAUCUGUUUAUGUGAAAUCCAGUCUUUUCAGUGUCUUCAUCUUCCUGUCCUUCUACUUGGGAUGCCUUCUUGUUGGGUUUGUUCAUUAUCUGAGGUUUCAGAGAAAAUCCAUUGAUGGAAGCUUUGGGUCCAAUGAUGGCUCUGGAAAUAUGGUGGCAUCUCAUCCCAUUGCUGCCAGCACACCCGAAGGGAGCAAUUAUGGGACAAUAGAUGAGUCAAGCUCCAGUCCUGGAAGGCAGAUGUCCUCCUCCGAUGGUGGGCCACCGGGCCAGUCAGACACAGACAGCUCCGUGGAGGAGAGCGACUUCGACACCAUGCCAGACAUUGAGAGUGAUAAAAACAUCAUCCGGACCAAGAUGUUCCUUUACCUGUCAGAUUUGUCCAGGAAGGACCGGAGAAUUGUCAGCAAAAAAUAUAAAAUUUAUUUUUGGAACAUCAUCACCAUUGCUGUGUUUUACGCGCUGCCCGUGAUCCAGCUGGUCAUUACCUAUCAGACAUGCCUUCAACAACAUUCUCAGCAAUCUGGGCCACGUGCUUCUGGGCUUCCUCUUCCUGCUGAUAGUCUUGCGCCGCGACAUCCUCCAUCGGAGAGCCCUGGAAGCCAAGGACAUCUUUGCUGUGGAGUACGGGAUUCCCAAACACUUUGGUCUCUUCUACGCUAUGGGCAUUGCAUUGAUGAUGGAAGGGGUGCUCAGUGCUUGCUACCAUGUCUGCCCUAAUUAUUCCAACUUCCAAUUCGACACCUCCUUCAUGUACAUGAUCGCUGGCCUGUGCAUGCUGAAGCUCUAUCAGACCCGCCACCCAGACAUCAAUGCCAGCGCCUACUCUGCCUAUGCCUCCUUUGCUGUGGUCAUCAUGGUCACCGUCCUUGGAGUGGUGUUUGGAAAAAAUGACGUAUGGUUCUGGGUCAUCUUCUCUGCAAUCCACGUUCUGGCCUCGCUAGCCCUCAGCACCCAGAUAUAUUAUAUGGGUCGUUUCAAGAUAGAUGUGUCUGACACAGAUUUGGGAAUUUUCCGGCGGGCUGCCAUGGUGUUCUACACAGACUGUAUCCAGCAGUGUAGCCGACCUCUAUAUAUGGAUAGAAUGGUGUUGCUGGUUGUGGGGAAUCUGGUUAACUGGUCCUUCGCCCUCUUUGGAUUGAUAUACCGCCCCAGGGACUUUGCUUCCUACAUGCUGGGCAUCUUCAUCUGUAACCUUUUGCUGUACCUGGCCUUUUACAUCAUCAUGAAGCUCCGCAGCUCUGAAAAGGUCCUCCCAGUCCCGCUCUUCUGCAUCGUGGCCACCGCUGUGAUGUGGGCUGCCGCCCUAUAUUUUUUCUUCCAGAAUCUCAGCAGCUGGGAGGGAACUCCGGCCGAAUCCCGGGAGAAGAACCGCGAGUGCAUUCUGCUGGAUUUCUUCGAUGACCAUGACAUCUGGCACUUCCUCUCUGCUACUGCUCUGUUUUUCUCAUUCUUGGUUUUGUUAACUUUGGAUGAUGACCUUGAUGUGGUUCGGAGAGACCAGAUCCCUGUCUUCUGAACCUCCAACAUUAAGAGAGGGGAGGGAGCGAUCAAUCUUGGUGCUGUUUCACAAAAAUUACAGUGACCACAGCAAAGUAACCACUGCCAGAUGCUCCACUCACCCUCUGUAGAGCCAACUCUGCAUUCACACAGGAAGGAGAGGGGCUGCGGGAGAUUUAAACCUGCAAGAAAGGAGGCAGAAGGGGAGCCAUGUUUUGAGGACAGACGCAAACCUGAGGAGCUGAGAAACACUUGCUCCUUCCAUCUGCAGCUUUGGGAGUGCAACAGGGAUAGGCACUGCAUCCAAGUCAACUCACCAUCUUGGGGUCCCUCCCACCCUCACGGAGACUUGCCAGCAAUGGCAGAAUGCUGCUGCACACUUCCCUCCAGUUGUCACCCUGCCCAGAAAGGCCAGCAGCUUGGACUUCCUGCCCAGAAACUGUGUUGGCCCCCUUCACACCUCUGCAACACCUGCUGCUCCAGCAAGAGGAUGUGAUUCUUUAGAAUAUGGCGGGGAGGUGACCCCAGGCCCUGCCCUACUGGGAUAGAUGUUUUAAUGGCACCAGCUAGUCACCUCCCAGAAGAAACUCUGUAUAUUUCCCCCAGGUUUCUGAUGCCAUCAGAAGGGCUCAGGAGUGGGGUUUGUCACACAUUCCUCUUAACAAGUAACUGUCACUGGGACCGAGUCCUGGGUGCUUACAUAUUCCUUCGUGUCUUCAUCUCACUGACCUGUGUGGACCUCAUCACUCUGACUCUGCCUUCUUGGAAAGGCCCUGUCACUCCACAGAUGUCUGGCCAGCUUCAAGGCAGAAGGAAAAACAGGAAAAGCUCUUUUAACAGCAGCAGGAACAAGAGAAAUGACUAACCAUACUAAAAGACUGGUAACAGCAGCAGCAGCCAGACAGGCCUCACCUUAAGGACUUGGGCUGCCAGAGCAAAUUCAGCAGAGCUUAUUUGGCCUCCCAUUCACACAGCUCAGUUCUGUGCCCACAUCACCUUUGGGGAAGAAAUCAGCAUUCUAAUCAGGGACACUACUUCAGGAGUCCUCCACAGCGAGUCCGUCAUCUGUCACUUUAUGUAGAUCAGGGUUCUAGACUUCUUCCCUGAGGUUCUCAGAAGCAGCUCUCAGGAUGAACGUAUUGUCCUCUUCCCCUCUUCUUGCAAAGUGCACAGCUAAUCUAAUGUUGUCUCUCGGUUGCACCUGACAUUCUCUCCCCAGUAAGGUGUUGGCAAGCUCAGCAUCUGGGUUCCACUCUCACACUGUCUGGCAGCUCUGUGUCUGAGAAGUUCUACAUUGACCAGGCCCCCUUGUUGCCUGGAGUAUGACGUAAUCAGAAAAUAGACGUAUAAAUGUGCACAUGCGUAUGUAUUUGCUUGUGAAAUUAAAGUCACCUCUUGCCUCUGCUUUCCUGAUCAUUCGUUAGAGAAAUGGAUCAGGCAUUUUUUUAAAUUAUUAUUCUUUCUCUAAACUAUUUGCAUUGUGUUCAAAAACCCAUUUUAGAAGUUUGAACAGCAAGCUUUUCCUGAUUUUAAAAACACAAAGUUGCUUUCAAUGAAAUAUUUUGUGAUUUUUUUAAAGUCCCCAAAUGUGUACUUAGCCUUCUGUUAUUCCUUAUUCUUUAAGCAGUGUUGGCUUCCAUUGACCAUAUGAAGGCCACCAAUUAAAUGGUUGUGUUAAUCCAACAUGUAAAAAACUUUUUGGCAGGGCACAGUGGCUCACGCCUGUAAUCCCAACACUUUGGGAGGCUGAGGCAGGAGGAUCACUUGAGCCCAGGAGAUUGACGCCGCAGUGAACUAUGAUUGUGCCCCUGCACUCCAGCCUGGAUGACAGAGUGAGACCCCAUCUCUUAAAAAAUAAAAAAAAAUAAAAAUUUGAACCUGUUUCA
RNA transcript from Homo sapiens (human), 4839 nucleotides. It is a transcript of the gene named SID1 transmembrane family member 1, with no coding region annotated. The transcript has 26 exons. NCBI's taxonomy places the organism in Eukaryota, Metazoa, Chordata, Mammalia, Primates, Hominidae. The record is from RefSeq and is marked reviewed.